GGGGGGAAAACGUGUGUCGUACGUUUUGUGUGUCAUACGUUUACUUGGACUGGUACCCGGUCGAUUUUUGACAAGUUUGUAUAUUCCAAAGGCAUACAGAAUAUUUUACGCGGAGAACCAUUCUUAAGUUUACUAAGACUUGGUCGUUAUCAUAGCUGAUUGAUUGUAAGUCCAUCCACGUCACUCCCCCUUUGAAACCAUUUUUCAAGACGCUAUUACUUCGAUACUGGCAUUACAUAAAUGGUCUAUCUAAAUCAUAAAAUUGUCUGUUUGCAAAUUAAAUACAUGCAUUGAACAUUAGUUAGUCACUCUUGGAUUCAAUUUAAUGCGUUAUCACUCAAAGGUUUUUUUGUUAGGCUUCCAAAGCAACCCUGUAGUCUCGAGAUAAGCUGACGAAAAUUAUUCCAUAAACACACGUUGUGUGUACUAAAACCUUGGUGUUAUACUAAAUUAUUUAUAUCUUUUCGUUGCCUGGGAUACUGUUUAAACAUUCUGCCUUUGUUUCUUUGGCAAUGGAAAGAACUUUUAUUUUCUUAUUUGAUGUUUGCUGGUAAAAGUAAGAUUUGUAUGUGUGGCUCAAAAUAAAUUUUUGCGGUUGUCGAUUCUAUAUCAUUUUUGGUUUUACCCAUUUCCAAUAAGACGGAGACUUGUCGAACUUAAUAUAUUACUUGAACAUUCUGCACGUUUUAUAUGUGGAUGUAAUUACAGUGACGGGGAGCACGGAAUGACGUCUUCAUAUCUCAGCUUGAUCAGUCAUAAGACGUAUUGAGAUGAGGUAUGGAUACCAUUGACACAACUCACUUUGAUACGAACAUAUAUUCUAAAUUCAUAAACAGUGAUAAUUUAUGAUAUACUUGCAUGUGAAGAACACGGGACAUACUUCAAAUACGCUUUAUCUGCAUGUUUUCAUCCCUACAUAACAACAUGAUUAAACGGGUCAAUUAAACAUGCAUAUAUUCUGUGUCUGAUCAGAUUAAACUAGUAACCCUCGCCGUUCAGUGAGAAAAUAAAUCUAAUAAUAAAUUCAUACAUAUUAAUGAUCGGUUGAAAGUUUACCUACAGUAGGAACUUGAGUAUUUUUCCAUACAUGAUGUGGGAUUUUCCAUAAUAACUGUAAAAUAUUUUCUAUGAAUGACGUCUAUUGGGUAUGUUAUACGUUAGUUUGUGUGCAUUGUACCGACCAUGCGAGACUCUCGUGGAUAGCCAAUGUCGUUCUAGUCAACACCUCUAGUAUAGUGUACUCUGCAUAACUUUUAACGGUUAUAUAGUGCAGUUAAAUAAAGUAAUAGACUGGGAAAGAAAUAUCUAUUAUCCUUAAUAUACCUGAAUAAAUUAAAAUAGUAUUACGUAACCUAAAAUAAAUAUUACGAAGAACAAAAGAUUAUUUGCUAUGACUACAAAUCAGACAUAGACAGCGAUAAUCCUAACAAUGUGCUAUAGUGAUGCAAUCUCUCAUGCGGAGAGAGCAAAGACCGAUAACUCUGCAUGGGAAAUUGAUAUUGUCCUUGAGAAUUUCAUUAGAUAUCUAUCGAUUUUUUUGUUUUUGCUGCUUAGCUUUUCAUAUUCUGUCGGUUAAACCUAGAUAGAAAGAGAGGCAUGAAAUCCAUGUCAUUUGACACUCGAACUUUGUUGAAGGCUGCAAGAUGAUCUCUCUAGAUUUCAGGUGAUAACAUGGUAUUAACAUGAUAUUUUAUACGUUUUACGGUUUACUUCAUAUUUCAGAGGUCGUAAGAUUUUUAAUUAACAUAUCACAAAGUCAUUUCGAGCUUCCAUUGGUAACUAGGAAAGUAGAAAUCCAUUUGAAAUCUUUAAUACAGCUCAUACAAAUGACGUGGUUUGAUUGUUGAUUUUUUUUUAUAUAUCUUUUAUAAAUUGAUGUGGGCUAAUUUCAGUUACUGCGUGAACUUUCAAAUGUUUACCUUGUUGUAGUUAUAUUUUUUGUACAAUUAGGGUCAAGUAUGUUUUUUUUUCUGCCUGCUUUGUGGCGAUCUGAUUGGUCGAGCCAUUUUCAACUUAUUUCUAUAGUUUUUCUCAUGUGAUGUGAAAGCCAAAUAGUGACCCCAUUAUGCCACAGUUGCUAUUUUUACAUCAUUUGGUAUCUGAUGAAAACUUGUCAUAUUGGCAAUCAUUUCACAUCUUUUUAUAAACACUGUGGAAAUUUACCUUUAGAUUUAGUAUACCGAUUUUACCGGUUUAUGUUUUCAGUGAUUUCUCUCACUUGAUUGUAUUGCUUCUAUAAACAUGUAACUUAACUAAAAUAACGAUUCAAAUUCCUCGUUGCAGACCUUCAAUCUGUAAAUAACUAAUGAGUUGUGGUAAAAAGACCUAUGAUUGCCAAUGAGGAAACACGCAAAGGGAACUAUAUGGCCUUCGACAAUAUGUUUAACUCAUACCCCAGAGCAAGCUAUAAAGGGUUCGCGAUAGGAAAGUGCGAAACUUAUCAAAAGAGAAGUACCAAUAACCUAAUUUAUGUACAACAAUAAACGAAAAACAAUUGUGACAGAAAGCGACCAACGACAACCGCUGUAUUAUAAGCUCCUGGCUCCGGGCAGACACAUAACAAAGUGGUGGGGUACUGUUACACAUGGUUGUUAUAACCACCAGCGUUUUCUACAUUGUAUGGUAUAUACUUUAAAGGUAAACAUGGACAAUCCUCUGUGGCUGUGGAUCAUGUACAAUACUAUUGAUUUGUUCAACACAUUCUACUUUCAUUUGUCGUCAUUGUUGAAUGAACAAUGGUACGCAAACACUGUU
Molecule: long non-coding RNA, 2754 nt
Filed under: Mytilus galloprovincialis (Mediterranean mussel)
Lineage: Eukaryota; Metazoa; Mollusca; Bivalvia; Mytilida; Mytilidae
Source: RNAcentral